CAAAACUCUAUGAGGAGUAAGUAUGUUUAUCAGAGAUGGUGCUUGUGUAGAAGACAUGAGAGAGUAAUGUAAAGGGCCUGGCCCAAGGUAGGCUUAGUAAAUGGUGACCAUUGAGCCUGUUGUAACAUGGCCAGCCUAUGGAACAAGCAUGAAGUGUGUCUUCAGACACCAGCCUCUGAGGGUCCAUGAAGCUAGCUAACUUGCUGGCCUUAUGCUUACAUGGCCUCAUGUAAUGUGCACAACAUAUUUUCCUUUUCUUCCCAUAGCUGCAAUUCUCAUUGCAAGAUCAUCGCCUCCCUGGUUUAUAGUAGACAGACCUUUUCUGUUUUUCAUCCGACAUAAUCCUACAGGUGCUGUAUUAUUCAUGGGACAGAUAAACAAACCCUGAAGAGUAUACAAAAGAAACCAUGCAAAGCAACGACUACUUUGCUACGAAGAAAGACUCCUUUCCUGCAUCUUUCAUAGUUCUGUUAAAUAUUUUUGUACAUCGCUUCUUUUUCAAAACUAGUUCUUAGGAACAGACUCGAUGCAAGUGUUUCUGUUCUGGGAGGUAUUGGAGGGAAAAAACAAGCAGGAUGGCUGGAACACUGUACUGAGGAAUGAAUAGAAAGGCUUCCAAAUGUCUAAAAGAUUCUUUAAACUACUGAACUGUUACCUAGGUUAACAACCCUGUUGAGUAUUUACUGUUUGUCCAGUUCAGGAAUUUUUGUUUUGUUUUGUCUAUAUGUGCGGCUUUUCAGAAGAAAUUUAAUCAGUGUGACAGAAAAAAAAAGUUUUAUGGUAGCUUUUACUUUUUAUGAAAAAAAUUAUUUGCCUUUUAAAUUCUUUUCCCCCAUCCCCCUCCAAAGUCUUGAUAGCAAGCGUUAUUUUGGGGGUAGAAACGGUGAAAUCUCUAGCCUCUUUGUGUUUUUGUUGUUGUUGUUGUUGUUUUAUAUAAUGCAUGUAUUCACUAAAAUAAAAUUUAAAAAACUCCUGUCUUGCUAGACAAGGUUGCUGUUGUGCAGUGUGCCUGUCACUACUGGUCUGUACUCCUUGGAUUUGCAUUUUUGUAUUUUGUACAAAGUAAAAAUAAACUGUUAUGAGUAGUAAAAAUAAAGCUAUUUCUCUGCUAUUUGAAAAUACAAUAGAAGAAACUGAGCCUUUUAGACAUUCGUCAGCCUCUUCUAAUAAACCUUUGUACUAUGUAAACAUCAGGAAAUUCAAAGCUCGGAGACUUUUCCUAUCCUUUUCCUCUAGACCUGACAAUCAAACACUUCCCCGCUUCAACAACGUCUCAUUUUAUAGAUCACUUCAACAGAGUAACUAUUACAGUAAUCCUAGUUCUACUCUUAGCUACAUUCACUCCAGCAAUGGCUAAG
Molecule: long non-coding RNA, 1358 nt
Filed under: Pan troglodytes (chimpanzee)
Lineage: Eukaryota; Metazoa; Chordata; Mammalia; Primates; Hominidae
Description: long non-coding RNA NONPTRT011160
Source: RNAcentral